Molecule: unclassified non-coding RNA, 148 nt
Filed under: soil metagenome
Description: partial internal transcribed spacer 1
Source: RNAcentral
CCGAGUUUACAACUCCCAAACCCCUGUGAACAUACCUUUAUGUUGCCUCGGCGGAUCAGCCCGCGCCCCGUAAAGCGGGACGGCCCGCCGCAGGAAACCCUAAACUCUGUUUUUAGUGGAACUUCUGAGUAUAAAAACAAAUAAAUCA